AUAAUUUUAUUUCACUACACAAACUUUAAAGUACAAAAUAUAAAUAAAAAAAAAGUUAAUUUCAUACGGAUCUCUCCAAACACAAUAAAUUACAAAUAUAUUCCUAUAAAAUUUAAUUUUCAUAUAUUAUUUCUAUAAAAAUUUUAAUAUUUUCAAAUAUGUUAAUCUGAUUUGUUACCGUUAAAGCACUAUUUAUUUUAUAAGUGAAAUAAUUUUUUUACCAUCACAAAUAUAUCCCUCCAAAACUUUCAACUGUUAAUUAAAGAGGGGUAAAAAGAUUAACUCACCUUAUUAGCUAACUAGGGUUAAAUAUUUUACCCAUGAUUAACUAAUUUUUUCUAACGGAUCUUAACAUUAGAAAUAUAUUUAAAAAUAUCAGAACUUUUAAAAGGACAACAUGCGAAGGUUAAAUUUUAUAAAAAGAUAUUUACAGCUCACUAUGUUUGAAAGAAUCUGUAUGAAAUUAAUCCAAAAAAACCCCUCCUUCCCUCUUAUAUGAAAUUAACCCAAAAAAAAAACUCUCAUAACCUCUUAUAGCCAUAUA
This 544-nucleotide long non-coding RNA is filed under the name Ananas comosus (pineapple). RNAcentral's name for it is "long non-coding RNA (ACOM_LNC004187)". Lineage: Eukaryota; Viridiplantae; Streptophyta; Magnoliopsida; Poales; Bromeliaceae. The record is from RNAcentral.